This 82-nucleotide microRNA precursor is filed under the name Saimiri boliviensis boliviensis (Bolivian squirrel monkey). RNAcentral's name for it is "microRNA 651 (ENSSBOG00000004921.1)". It matches the Rfam family "mir-651 microRNA precursor family". Lineage: Eukaryota; Metazoa; Chordata; Mammalia; Primates; Cebidae. The record is from RNAcentral.
UUUAGGAUAAGCUUGACUUUUGUUCACAUAGAAAUGCAAAAGGUAAGUAUAUCCUAAAAGGCAAUGACAGUUUAAUGUGUUU